This 262-nucleotide long non-coding RNA is filed under the name Elaeis guineensis (African oil palm). RNAcentral describes it as "long non-coding RNA (EGUI_LNC067448)". Lineage: Eukaryota; Viridiplantae; Streptophyta; Magnoliopsida; Arecales; Arecaceae. The record is from RNAcentral.
UCAUAAAUUAAAUUCUCUAAAUUAUUACAUCCCUAAAAUGAGCUAGUUAUGGAGAUAACUAGAUCAUAGCCUCUCAUUAAGUUGGGUGAUAAUGGGUCCAUUAGUAUGAUGAUCAUUGGAGUUCCAAAGGCUUGGUGUUUAUCUGCUAUUAAAAUUAUCGUUCAUAAUAUGAUGACAUAGUCGAGUCUCUCUAUCAAGUGGUCAAGUUAGCCGACCAAAGUCAAAACUGAUUAUUUGGUAGUUAGAUUUGUAAGUAUGAUCA